RNAcentral lists this transfer RNA (73 nucleotides) under Phrynosoma platyrhinos (Desert horned lizard). RNAcentral's name for it is "tRNA-OTHER". Lineage: Eukaryota; Metazoa; Chordata; Lepidosauria; Squamata; Phrynosomatidae. The record is from RNAcentral.
GCCAAUGUGGCAUAGUGGUUUUUGAGUGUUGGACUGUGACUCUGGAGAUUAGGGUUCCAUUCCCUAUUUGCCA